GAUAUAAUGAUUUAUAACUUUAAUCCUGCUGCUAUCUGUCUAUCAAACUCAAUCAGGAAACAACGGCCUCACUGCCCUCUAGUGGCCUGCCUUGGGCAGUUCCCGUUAUUUUUUUAUAAUUAAGUCACUAACAUCAUAUUUUUUUUUUUCGGAUCACAAAUAAAAAAAUAUCUAAUAUCUUUAUUUUUUCUUUCUAAUUCGUCCUUUCUCUUAUUUAUUGCAUGUUAUUCUAGGGACAUGUGUGGACAGGCUGAAAAAACGACCUCAAGUGAUCAAAUAUGAAACAAAUACCCUUAAAAAACGAUAUAAACUAUCUCAAACAAGUUGUUGUUCACAUAGUGUUUUCAUGGCUUGUGCAGUUCCUUUAUCACAUUGUAUUUUUUUAACAGCUGAAUAAUUUAAAUAAAUUAUGACAGAACAUGAAAACUAGACAAAAACAACCAUAUAUGUGCAACUUUCAUUUGAUUAUUUAGAAAAGCUCUGAGCAGAUGAAGUUCCAGAUCAGCAGAACCAGAACAGUGGAUUGGUUCUGGUGGUGGACCAUGCAGAGUACAAGAAGUACGGCAGCAGGAAGACUGUGACAGCGAGGAUGCUUGCGGUGGUUAACCACGUGGACAAGCUGUAUCGUAGCCUGGGUACCCGCGUGAUGCUGGUGGGUCUGGAGAUCUGGACCUACGGAGACCAGAUGGAGGACAGCCCCGAUCGCAGCGGAGCUGGCAGCGGAGAGGUGGAGGAGGUCAGUCGUCAUGGUGACUGGGUUGAUGUUUUUCAGGUUCCUGAGACUGAUUUGUCUGUUUGGCUCAUUGAGGGGGGACAGGGUGGUCGAUCAACAAAUCAAAAGUGUGUAAUAAACGAAUCCCCAGUUAGUCUGGAUUGUUGUUAUAUGCAAUGUUUGCCAAAUGUAUGAAAGAAUAUAUAAAGGUUUAUGUCACAAAUGUCAGUGGUCCUAAAACAAAGCAAUUUGGAAGACCUGGCUUGACCUGGGCUACAAUGUUCAUGCUUCAUGCGUCAGAGACUAUUGGCGCUUUCCACCGACAGUAGCAGCUCAACUCGACUCGCCUCGACUCGCCUCGACUUAUUUCCGUUUCCAUUGCCAAAAUCUGGUACCUGGUACUUUUUUAGUCUCCCCUCCGUCGAGGUUCCAUGAGAGCUGAACCGGUACUAUUGUGUGACUUGAA
Molecule: long non-coding RNA, 1178 nt
Organism: Gadus morhua (Atlantic cod)
Lineage: Eukaryota; Metazoa; Chordata; Actinopteri; Gadiformes; Gadidae
Exons: 3
Source: RefSeq, a predicted model, not a curated record